UACAGGGGGGGCAAGCGUUGUUCGGAAUUACUGGGCGUAAAGGGCUCGUAGGUGGCCAACUAAGUCAGACGUGAAAUCCCUCAGCUUAACUGGGGAACUGCGUCUGAUACUGGAUGGCUUGAGUUCGGGAGAGGGAUGCGGAAUUCCAGGUGUAGCGGUGAAAUGCGUAGAUAUCUGGAGGAACACCGGUGGCGAAGGCGGCAUCCUGGACCGACACUGACGCUGAGGAGCGAAAGCCAGGGGAGCAAACGGG
Molecule: ribosomal RNA, 253 nt
Filed under: uncultured bacterium
Lineage: Bacteria
Description: partial 16S ribosomal RNA
Rfam family: Bacterial small subunit ribosomal RNA
Source: RNAcentral